Otolemur garnettii (small-eared galago) is the source of this 106-nucleotide small nuclear RNA. The record is from Ensembl. NCBI's taxonomy places the organism in Eukaryota, Metazoa, Chordata, Mammalia, Primates, Galagidae.
GUGCUUGUGUGACCAGGACAUAUACUAAAAUUGGAUGCUACCAAGAAGUUUAGCAUGGCCCCUGGGCAAGAACGACACAAAGAAUUGUGAUGUGUUCAGUAUUAAA